GAGAGUAUAACUCAGUGGUAGAGGGUGUGCUUAGUGUGUAUGAGGUCCUGGGUUUGAUCCCCAGCACUAUUA
Molecule: transfer RNA, 72 nt
Filed under: Camelus bactrianus (Bactrian camel)
Lineage: Eukaryota; Metazoa; Chordata; Mammalia; Artiodactyla; Camelidae
Also listed under: 2 other names
Rfam family: tRNA
About the family: Transfer RNA (tRNA) molecules are approximately 80 nucleotides in length. Their secondary structure includes four short double-helical elements and three loops (D, anti-codon, and T loops).
Source: Rfam by way of RNAcentral